This 263-nucleotide ribosomal RNA is filed under the name uncultured bacterium. RNAcentral describes it as "partial 16S ribosomal RNA". It matches the Rfam family "Bacterial small subunit ribosomal RNA", at positions 30 to 294 of the family's 1533-position model. The record is from RNAcentral.
AUUGAACGCUGGCGGCAUGCCUUACACAUGCAAGUCGAACGGCAGCACGGGAGCAAUCCUGGUGGCGAGUGGCGAACGGGUGAGUAAUAUAUCGGAACGUGCCCGGUCGUGGGGAUAACGUAGCGAAAGCUACGCUAAUACCGCAUACGAUCUACGGAUGAAAGCGGGGGAUCGCAAGACCUCGCGCGAUUGGAGCGGCCGAUAUCAGAUUAGGUAGUUGGUGAGGUAAAGGCUCACCAAGCCGACGAUCUGUAGCUGGUCUG